AAAUAAUAAUAAUAAUAAUAAUUAGCCAUUCAGUCUUUCUCGGAUGGAAUUUUCAUUAUUUGACUCUUCUGAAGGCUUUAAAAACCAACGAUUAAGACGUUCCGAUGCUUUUUUCACCUGUUCAUCCCAAUUAGUUCUUGAUGUAACGUAGCCAAGAACCAUGACUUGCAUUACAACUCCAAUUGUCAUUCCAAUCCAUAUGCCCUUGAUUUGCAGAUGAGCCACAUAUCCAAGAAUAACCCCAAUUGGAACUCCACCAAUGUAAUAGCUGCUGACGUUAAUGCAUGCAACCAUACUCUGUCGACCAGCACCUACAGCCACUCCUGUAAGUACUGCCUGGAAGCUGUUAAGUAGAACUGAGAAGGCAAGUAGGAGAGAGAGAUUGGACACAGCUUUAAUGACCAUUUGUUCAUUGGUGAACAAUUUAGCAAUUUGGCUGUCAAAAGCUAAACAUAUUAUGAAAAAAAAGGCUCCAAGGCACAGUGAAAUGAAGAGAAUGACUUUAACAGAAAAUUUUGCAGCUUUAGCAUCUCCUCUUCCCAGUUAAUUUGAAACUUGCACGCUAGACAGGAGGUAAGGAAUCCAUCAUUAGCUUACAGCUUUAUUUGUUAUGGGUAAGUAGAUUCAGGAAAUAAAGACUUCCCAAGAAGUGUACAAGUAUAAUGAAAGUUGUACCUGGCGGAAGUUAGGAAGGCAAUACAUAGCAUAAAUUCCCAAGCCGUGAUAUUCAGGCAAAUGGACAGGGCAGAUACUUGAGUUGUCGCAUUUUUCAUGUACCCUGCCAAGAGUACUAAGACAGCAUUGUACCAAAACUCUAAGCAAAGCAUCAAACCUGAGGAAAUUGAGAGCUUUAUUACAGGAAUUAAAUCAGUGAAGGCAGCUAAAGUGAAUCCCCUCCAUGUAUCAGGACACCAGCCACCAACGACAUAAACUAGCUCUCCAAUUAUUACCAACCAACUUGAAAUAUUCAUAGCAAUCAUAGCUCCAGGAAUUCCCCAGUUCAGCUUGCUCACAAAAAUCCAUGAUAAGAGCACAUGAAGUGCAAAUGAGGCAGCAGAAAGCCACCCAACAAUCAUGUUCUUGAGCUGAGUUUGCAAGUACUUUUGGAGUGAAAAAGCUAAGGAAAAGAAGUAGAGCAUAGGAAUAAACCACAAAGAAAUGUAUCCAGCAGCACUGGCAAUUUCUUCUUCCUCGCCCAGUAGCCUGAAGAUUUUCCCUGAGAAUAUGAAGACAGGAAGCAAUAUUGUCGCGGUAAGAAGGUUGAUGAUCCAUGAUCUUUGCAAGUAGACGCCCAUCAUGUGGUAUUGUCUUGCUCCAAAUGCCUGCCCACAUAGAGUCUCUGUGGCACUUGACAUGCCUAGCAAUAUCCCAUUUGCAAAUCUAACAGCAAUGAUUUGGAUGAGUGCAUAACCUGCAAGUUGUAGCUUUCCAGCAUGUCCAAUAAAUGACUGUGUUACCACAAACAUUCCAUAUUGUGUUACUCUUGCUAACGUAGCAGGAAAUCCAACCUUCCAUAUCUUCUUGUUUUCUAUCCAAAUUCUCCCUUUCAAAUCACUAGUAUCUUUUGCUUCUGAUCCAAGAAGCCUCUCUUCCAUUCUCUAUUGUUCCUGUAGUUGGCCUUUGGAGUGAUCCAGCUUUUCUUCAGGGAGUAUGCUAUUAACUUUAGAGAGCCGAAAGUCUCCCAGCUAGCUAGCACUGUUGAUUGAUGAACUCUGUGUGUGUAUCAGAGAGAGAGAGAGAGAGUGAAGGGUCUUAAUAGUGUGUGAAGGGUUUUAAUAUCCCACACCACAUUGUUU
Molecule: unclassified non-coding RNA, 1796 nt
Filed under: Hevea brasiliensis (rubber tree)
Lineage: Eukaryota; Viridiplantae; Streptophyta; Magnoliopsida; Malpighiales; Euphorbiaceae
Source: RNAcentral